RNAcentral lists this ribosomal RNA (253 nucleotides) under uncultured bacterium. RNAcentral's name for it is "partial 16S ribosomal RNA". It matches the Rfam family "Bacterial small subunit ribosomal RNA", at positions 524 to 776 of the family's 1533-position model. The record is from RNAcentral.
UACGGAGGGGGCUAGCGUUGUUCGGAAUUACUGGGCGUAAAGGGCGCGUAGGCGGCCUGUUAAGUCGAACGUGAAAUCCCCGGGCUCAACCCGGGAACUGCGUCCGAUACUGGCAGGCUUGAAUCCGGGAGAGGGAUGUGGAAUUCCAGGUGUAGCGGUGAAAUGCGUAGAUAUCUGGAGGAACACCGGUGGCGAAGGCGGCAUCCUGGACCGGUAUUGACGCUGAGGCGCGAAAGCCAGGGGAGCAAACGGG